Molecule: non-coding RNA, 5070 nt
Organism: Struthio camelus australis
Lineage: Eukaryota; Metazoa; Chordata; Aves; Struthioniformes; Struthionidae
Source: RefSeq, a predicted model, not a curated record
AUAACAGCAGUUCUCUGGCCGAUACGUGUUUCACUUUCAUGGAUCCAGUUAGCUUGCCCUUUGAUUUGUUUGAUUAUCGGAAAGUGUUUUGGUGAGACAUCAUGUUUUCAGAAGUGCGCCAAUAUUACUGGAUCAGUCAGACCAAAUGCAGGUCUGGUCAGUAAAUGGCCAAACAGAUUGGCUGGGAAGAGCCAGCCAUUGUGUCUAUGACUGGAGAUGCCCUGGGAAGCAGAAAGGCUGAGAGGCUCGGUGCCUGCACCUGCUCUUGUUGCAAGUCAUGCAGAUGGGGAAGCUGCCUCCCAUGGAAGCCAGAUGUUAUCAGCCAGCUGACGGUAUUUUGCCUCUGUGUCAGACACCAACUGCUGUCUCCAAAAUCCAGCUGAGUUCAGAACUUGCUGAGUCACAUUUUCACUCAUGUUCCUGAGAGUCACACUGUUAUAGGCACUGUUUGGCCAGAGAGUAGAUUGCUCUCACCCUGAAGCGCAUCCAGGAAUGCUGAUCUCCACACUUAUCUGUUUGGCUGCUGAGGUGAUCUACCACUUGGAAUCACUUGCUAAUUGUUCUUCUUGUCUCACUGUCUGGGGAGCAUGUGGUAUUUCUGUCAGCCUGGUGAGCCACAGCCUUCCAGAUCUCCUCAAGGAGUGAAGAGCAGGGGGAUAACUUCAAUUCUUUUUUAUCUAUAAAAUUGGCUGUGCGUCCGUUGCACCUAAGCUGGCCAGGCUCUGCUGUCUGCAGUGAGUUCGGACUGCCUGCAAAGCCCUUCUGCCCUAGGACUCUGGUCCACCUCGUCUGAGCAAUUUUUAGGAAGUAUAUGAAGACUUUCAAGUCAGACACAGGGUUGGGGUCUACAUGCAUGACAGGGAGACUUCUGCCCUUCUGUUCUGCAGCUGAUCUCUGAACCUACCUCUGCUCUGAUCAGUUGAGUCCCUGUGAAGCCUCCAUGACGUUUAAUGGGGCUAUGUAGAAUUAUUCAAGUUUUCUGCAUCCUGACAUUGGGAACGGAUUUCUGCUGAUUCAAUAUUAAUGAGCGCUCAAAAUACAGAAGGCUGUGAAGGCAAAGGCUAGACAACAGUGUACUGGGGUGUAUCAGCUGGAAUGUAACCAACAGGUUGAGGGACCUUCUAUUUGUCACUUGUGAGACCACCUUUGGAGUACUGUGUCCAGCUUUGUGCCCCUUGGCACAGGAAUGAGACUGAUAAACCAAACUGAGUUUAGCCAAGGCUGUGAGGGGAUGGUGCCAAGGCCGGAGAACAUGAUGUAGGAGAAGCUGAGAGCUGUGUUUGCUCGACCUGAAGAACAGAGACUAAGGGAAUAUCUAACUUUUGUGUCCAACUGCCUAAAGGAGGGUUAUAGAGAAGGUAGAACCAGGCUCUUCUCAGACGUGCAUAGCAAAAGGACAGGAGUCAAUGGCCGCUCUCUGUAGCAAGGGAAAUUCUGACCGAAUAUAAGGAAGAAAAAAUUGUAAUCGGUGGUUACACUGACAUAAGCUGUCCCAUUAACCAGUGGCAUAAGUUGCCCAGACAGCCUGUGCAAUCUCCAUCCUAGAAGGUUUUCAAAACUUCACUGGACAAAGCCUUGAGCAGCCUGAUCUAACUUUGAAGCUUUGAGUGGGCAUUUUGACAAGAUGACUUUCAGAGAUCCUUUCCAACCUAAUUUAUUCCAUGAUUCUACAGUAGUUGGAUACCAUAGGUAUAAUUCCCCAGCUAAUUGAACUGAAUCUGUCGUCAGUGUUAUUUUCACAGGCACACCUUUCCUAACCACCACAGAGAAAAAAAAAAGAGAAAAAAAAUUUUUUUUUUAGACAACAAAUUGUAGUAAAAUAAUAUGCAAGAACUACACAAAAACUCCAGUGUUUCAAAGCUGCCGGUUGCUGCUAGUGUUGGCAUGAGAGGAAGCGUAAAGUGGAUCAAAGUGCAAGGGCAAACAAUCUGAGGCAUUCUGCUAGUGGAAUCUCCUGUCAUCCUCCUGCUUCUCCAUAUGAUGAUGAUCCAAGCUGUUGAGUCUUGGAUUAGGUUCCAAGCACUGAAUCACUUAGACUCCCUGCCCUCCCCUGCAAUGAUCACAUAUAGAAAGCAGACAUGACUGAAAGAGACUCAGGCCACUUUAUAAAAGGAAAGCCACUUUUCGACACAGUCUUCCAUGCAAAAAGAUUGUUUGAUUUUAUUGUUUAACAAAUACCCCGAUCGUCUGAUAAGAAACAUGCUUGUCAAGCUUAGCGCCCUUCCUCGGACUGGAUAAAGGUGGGGUUAGGAAACCACAACUACUGCAAAAGAGGUGAUGGUACCCUUGAGAUGGGAUCUAUUUCUUGAUAACUUUUCUUCCCGAUGACCCCGAUCAUGUUUCAAUAUGAAGAUAUUGCAAAGAAAUGACAAACAUAUCUUCCCUGAUACCACAAAAGUGCAUUGACCAGGUAAUUUUUAUGUGGCUUGAAACCUCCAGAAUUAGAAGAAUAUUAAUGCUGCAAAGUGAAACCCUUGACUAUUUGGUAACAUUAACUCUAUCUUUUUAUUGAUAUGUACUGUAAUAAGCUAUUAUGAGGUGUAAUAAGCUAUUGCCUAACUGCUGUUGACUCCUGUGUAGACGGGAAAAGGACCCUGCUCUAGAUCAGUCUGGUAACUAGCAAAUGGUUAGUGAAUGUGUGUGUGGGGGGGGGCGGAGAAGAGCCUCUGGGCCUGUCUGUAUUGUUAUGUUAAACUAUGUCAGAGCACAGGCAUUGGCUUCCGGCACACUUUCGCCCUGAACAAAUUUACAGUCUUCAAACUUUGAGACAAAGAUAAUCGCCAUUUCCUUCUUUGCACCCCUGAAUUUGUUUGAGGUUGUUUGUCUUUGCCCUUGCAUGACUUGUCUUCUUCCUCCUAGAAUCAAACUAAAAUAAAAUUUCAAACAGGAUUUCUGAAGGUUUUUAGACGUUUGAGAAGAUCCUCUCUGUUGGAAUGACCCUAUGUGAUGCUGCAGCAGCUCAGUUCCUUUGACAAGGGAGAAAUCACUAUAAUUACUGACUGUAGUGCCCCCUACCUGGGAGAUCUGGGCAGCUUCAAGCAAUGAGAGAUAGUUAGGAGCUCCAUAGUUAGCAGGAGCAGUUUCAAACAGUAACGACAACCAUUCCUCACCCCUCUCACCUGGAGGAACUGAACUGCUGCCCUGCUGCCAUCUGCCUUCAGACCCUCCGGCCCUCAUUUGAACAACACCAUUUUGAAGUCCUGCGCCUCAUUAUGCUCAAUAUGCACAUGCCAAAUAAUCCUGUUUAACAAGUCCAUUGACUCCAGUAGGACUGUUUGUGGGCUUCAGCCUGUGUGUAUUUAAAUGCACGGCUCAUCCAGGCUUUAUCUUGGGCUACCACAGAAGAAAUGGAUGGGAAAUCUAUUCAGAGGAUAAAAAAUGUUGAAGCCUAUAUCUAACGUGCUGUUUUUUCCAGGUUUAAAGUAUAUAAACACUCUUAUAAUAAAUAUCUUUGGCAAAAUCCAUGACCCAGCUGUGCCACUAUUCUUGCAAUACAUCUGUGCCUGGAUUCGUUCUGCCUGCCUCUAGAAAAUUAUUUGAAGCACCUAAGUAACCAUUCGUGUUGCACUCCUUUGUGACAAUUGGUAGAGAGGUUAGGUCUUUCAGACAAAAAGUCGGAUCUUAGCUCAGCUCUUCUCUAGAAGUGGUGAAGAAGCUUAUCUCUGUUUAGGGUUCAUAGUGGGAAUUUACAGUGACUAGGCUGUGAAAUUAGAAGUCUGAAUUAAGUCCCUAAAGUCGGAGGCAGAAGAGGAUGCCUUCAGGUCUUAAUGUCUAAGAAUCACCUGUAAGUUUAUUAUUAAAGUCCUUGCACCCCAAACUCCUACUGACUGUGACCUGAUUAUUCAGGAUUACUGAACUGGUCCUAAUCCUGCUCCAGCUCUUUGUGUGGGUCCUGAAUCAGAGCCACGGGCUUCAGCACAGCUACGGGUGACUACAGCAGUCUGUCCUCUGUGCCGAGAGCUGUGAGAUCAGAGUCUGAGCAUCCACAUUCUCCAUGCAGAUGAUUUUGCACUACACGUACGAACCAGAUUAUUUUCAGUGAAGAAUCAUGUAUCAUGUGGCAAUUUAAAAAGACAAAAUCUUGCCCUUGGGGAAUUAAUUUCUAGCUAUGGAAUGUAACAGAUGAUAACACGUAUCCACAACAAAAUAUGAUAAAAUACCUUACGAGAUAAAUCCGGUGAAUAUAAAAUAUUAUAUGAACUGUAACUCAAGAUAUUCACCACGUUUGUUGAAAUGUCUCUCAUGCAGCAUUUUAAAAGACAUUAACAUUUUUUAAAGUAAUCUUUUCCCAGCAAAUCUAUAUUAAUAACUAUUUACAUAAUAAGUUAUUGUAAAAGAUACAUACAUCACAUAUUUCUUUGAAGAUAUGCACUGGGCAACUUGGAAUAAAUCCUACCUCAUUUAAUACAGAUUUUCUGAGACGUGUAGAAAAAUGAGAGUCCUGAAGAACCUGGAAAGAAUUCAAAUCUGAUGAAAAACAAAAAUAGUAUAUAUGAUUAAAUUUUUUCCAACCAGCUUUAAUAAAUACACCGAUAUUUAAAGCAGAACAAAACAGAAUAGUGAGGUAUGUCAACAUUUUUCAAGGCUUUUAAUCGUAUUUUAGAAGAAUACUGCUAACAUAUCCAAAUUAUUAUCGUUCCUUUCUUCUACAAAUUGCUAUAAAGUAAUUAAAAAAGCAAAAAAGUGUUAGAAGACCUAAAAUCCUUUCAACAAUAAACCAAAUAUAAUGGAGAUCACUAUAAUACCAAAAUGAUAUAAAAAUUGAACUAAAGUUAACACAGCAAGGAAAUAAUAAUAAAAAAAAAUUAUAGCAGGGAAAUUAAAAACUAAAAAGAGUGACAUUUGCUGUAUGAGGUAGAAAUUCAUUAAUAAAAUCAAUAAUACUUUUGCCUCAGAAGGUAUUUCCUAUGUAAAUUUUAAACUCAUGUCAUGUAAAAACUAUUCACUCUAAAAUCCCUAAUUUAGUCCCGUUUCUUCAGGCAUUUCAGCAUUUGAACACAUUUCCUGUAUGUACAAUUCAGUUCUUCAUUCUGUGAAUGCAAGCUUUUAAGACACAGUACCUGAGGUUCU